RNAcentral lists this ribosomal RNA (725 nucleotides) under uncultured Limnoperdon. Its description in RNAcentral is "eukaryotic LSU rRNA". The stretch from base 306 to 459 matches the Rfam family "5.8S ribosomal RNA". The record is from RNAcentral. Lineage: Eukaryota; Fungi; Basidiomycota; Agaricomycetes; Agaricales; Cyphellaceae.
CUUGGUCAUUUAGAGGAAGUAAAAGUCGUAACAAGGUUUCCGUAGGUGAACCUGCGGAAGGAUCAUUAUUGAAUAAACUCGGUGGGUUGUUGCUGGCCUCAUAGAGGCAUGUGCACACCUUCCUGUUUCUUCUUUCACCCCCUGUGCACACUCUGUAGGCUUGGAUAACUUUCGAGGAAACUCGGUUGGGGAGCUUUCUUUGAUAAGAAGACUGCUUCUACAUUUCCAGUCUACGUCUUCCAUAUACACCACUGUAUGUCAUAGAAUGAACAAUUUGGGCCUUUACAAGCCUAUAAAUUUUAAACAACUUUCAACAACGGAUCUCUUGGCUCUCGCAUCGAUGAAGAACGCAGCGAAAUGCGAUAAGUAAUGUGAAUUGCAGAAUUCAGUGAAUCAUCGAAUCUUUGAACGCACCUUGCGCUCCUUGGUAUUCCGAGGAGCAUGCCUGUUUGAGUGUCAUUAAAUUCUCAAUCCUUAUGAUUUUUCUUUCAUAUGGACUUGGAUCUGGGAGGCUGCAGGCUUCUUAUUUGAAGUCUGCUCUCCUCAAAUGCAUUAGUUGGACUUUUUGCAACAGCCGAUGGCGUGAUAAUUAUCUACGUCUCAUCUGAUGCAGUUUCUACAGUCUUGCUUCCAACCGUCCGUUUAAUCGGACAACUCUUUUGACAAUUUGACCUCAAAUCAGGUAGGACUACCCGCUGAACUUAAGCAUAUCAAUAAGCGGAGGA